UCCCUUCACAGUGGUGAAGAGAGAGCUGAAGUUAAUCCUCAGUGACACCAUGAUUAUCAGAGACUGAGAAGGAAAAAGUAACAAAUUCCACAGAAUUGCAGCAUCAGUUAGAUAAAACAAAGCAACAGCAUCAAGAAUAGCAAGCUCUUCAGCAAAGCACUACAGCAAAACUUUGAGAAGCUCAGGAAAUUGGCAGAAAUUGGGAUUGAAAGAAAGACUAAAUCAGGUCUCAAAUCUUCAGUGAAUGAGGUAGGGAUUUAUAGAUAGCAACACAGGA
Phacochoerus africanus (Common warthog) is the source of this 277-nucleotide long non-coding RNA. RefSeq lists it as uncharacterized. NCBI's taxonomy places the organism in Eukaryota, Metazoa, Chordata, Mammalia, Artiodactyla, Suidae. The transcript is spliced from 3 exons. The record is from RefSeq and is a predicted model, not a curated record.